CCCGGCCUGGUGUAAUGGUAACACAGCAAAUAACAUUCAGGAAGCCUAUCAUAGCCUGAGCCCCAUGUGAGGGGGCGGCAGAUCUGGGUUCGAAUCCCGGGGCUGGGA
Molecule: transfer RNA, 108 nt
Filed under: Hypomontagnella monticulosa
Lineage: Eukaryota; Fungi; Ascomycota; Sordariomycetes; Xylariales; Hypoxylaceae
Description: tRNA-Leu
Source: RNAcentral